RNAcentral lists this long non-coding RNA (265 nucleotides) under Daucus carota (carrot). RNAcentral describes it as "long non-coding RNA (DCAR_LNC006351)". Lineage: Eukaryota; Viridiplantae; Streptophyta; Magnoliopsida; Apiales; Apiaceae. The record is from RNAcentral.
UAGGGAUCUCAACCAUUGCACGGUUAAAUAAACCACUAGAAUAAAGUGAAUAAUUGGUGUGUGAAGUCUUGUGGUGUUCGUAACGCAUUUACACUGCGAAGCGCUCUGACCUUAGACCAAGCAAUUAAUCACCAAAAAAAAGAAAAAAAUAUAGUGAAUAAAAUAGAAGGGUGUGGACAUUCUUUGGGACCUUGGCUUUUAGUUGGACUUGAGUGACGGGGUGUUAGUUUUAAACUUUUACGAUUCUUGAUUGGGAUUCUGUGGG